RNAcentral lists this long non-coding RNA (1400 nucleotides) under Fukomys damarensis (Damara mole-rat). RNAcentral's name for it is "lncRNA (ENSFDAG00000025319.1)". The record is from RNAcentral. Lineage: Eukaryota; Metazoa; Chordata; Mammalia; Rodentia; Bathyergidae.
GUUUUGAUGAACAGUUUGUGGCAAAAAUGGCUUGGGGUGAUUUCCAGAGGCCCUGAAAUUUCUGCUUUCUUUGGAAUGCUUCAGACAUCUCAGGAUGAAGCCUGCACCAGCCCACUGGAGGCCACUUGAAGAGGCAGCUAGUCCCAAGCAGGAGGAGCUGACCCCAACCCACUAUGGACGUGUGUCAGAUACCUGCUGGAUUUUGAGAACUGGAAUGGCUGCUGGAGAUAUUCCUCUGGGAUGUAGAAUGGAUGCUGGGGUUGAACUCAGGACCUUGCGCUCAUGAGGCAAGCAUGGCAUCACCGAGCUACAUCCCCGGCCCUGGAGAUAUUCCCAACCAGGGCAUACGCUCCCCUCUGCUUCCCUACGCUAUUAUAUAAAUGUCCAGUCUCAUUACCUGGGAUUCCCAAGUUUCUGCUUGUGUUCAUUUCAUCCUGUUUCUGAGCUCUCUCCCUCACGAAAAUCUCUCUUUGUGCCUUUGCUUCUGUUGCUCCCUCUCCCUUCCACUUGCUCCAGUUAGACACUGUAUAGAGAGCUCAGGUGUUAGUUUUUUGUGAAACUCUCCUGCUAUUCAUCCUGGAACCCUUAUCACUUAAUAUCUGAAUCAUAAUUCAAAUUGAUAAUCACUUUUUAAAGCACAUAAUAAAGCCUUUGUAAAUAGGGAGGCAUGGAGGAGUUCAUGGGAGGGCAGGGGAAUGGGGAAAAAAUAACCAAGAUAUAUCCUGUGAAGUUAUAGUUACAGAUUCUCAAUGACAUGUCAUCAUAUUGUAUACUUAAAAUGUACCAAUAAAAUUAAUGAAAAAAUGAGAUUUUAAGGUGCUUGAGCAAACACAAAAAAGCAUAUUGGCUCACAUGUUCUCACAUCCACUAUAGCAGAGAUGGUAAACCUUUUAGAGCUUUCAAUACUAGCAAACAGCCCACUGUGGCAUCCGUGCCAUAGGUUCAGCACCACUGCACUAUAGCAUCUAGUACAGUGUCUUGCCUAACAAAUGCUUGCCAGUGUGUUACUGAACUGCACAAAAAUGUAAGAAUUAGAAAUGUCAUGCUGGUGGGAUUACUUUUGGGGAAUAGUACCCUCAGACACCAUCUUGAUUCCAACCUUUAUCCCGUAGUGUCCUCUCAAUCCCUCUUCUAUACUUGCAACAGAAACACGUCUAGGCUGAACAACAGUGUCAGAUGGUAUGAAGAGUGGCAGCAUUAUCAAGAUACCUAGACCUUGGUUCUAAUUCUAACUGUAAACUGUGUGACCCCGGAAAUAUUUUCUUGACUCUCUGAGCUUCGGGUCACUCCUUUGUGAAAUAGAACCAAUGAAACCUCUGAAGGGUUGGUGUGAAAACAAAGUGUGAUGUAUAUAUCUGAUUUUCUUGCUCAGUUCAUAUCAAGUUAUUAUUAAAUUGCAG